Molecule: ribosomal RNA, 261 nt
Filed under: uncultured archaeon
Lineage: Archaea
Description: partial 16S ribosomal RNA
Rfam family: Archaeal small subunit ribosomal RNA
Source: RNAcentral
CGUCUACAUUAGACUACCCGGUAGUCCCAGCCGUAAACUAUGCGCGUUAGGUGUAUCGGUGACCACGAGUCACCGAGGUGCCGAAGGGAAACCGUGAAACGUGCCGCCUGGGAAGUACGGUCGCAAGGCUGAAACUUAAAGGAAUUGGCGGGGAGCACCACAACGGGUGGAGCCUGCGGUUUAAUUGGACUCAACGCCGGGAAGCUCACCGGAUAAGACAGCGGAAUGAUUGCCGGGCUGAAGACUCUGCAUGACUAGCUG